GGGGGUGAACGGUUUCGACUCCGGCUGUCGAUCAAGGGGAAGCGUGCCGAGGAAGGCGACGAUGAUCUCGAUAACCACCCGUCGCAACCCUAUAAGCGCCGACACCAGUCAGCGCGAGUUCGCCCUCGCCGCCUGAGCGAGGAGCGACUCUGUCGGACCGGGGGCGUCCCUGCCCCGGACCCCGGCAUCAGCUAAGGGACUCACCGUGCGGCCCGGUCGCGGGGCCGCACGGGACAUCGAACAGCGACUGGGAUCGUCACACCGGCACGUUCGCAUGACCGGUGGAUCCGAGUAGAGGCACAGCGGACUGCGCACGGAGAAGCCCUUGUGAGGCAACGGAGGACCCGGGUUCGAUUCCCGGCACCUCCACCA
Molecule: transfer-messenger RNA, 372 nt
Filed under: Pseudonocardia acidicola
Lineage: Bacteria; Bacillati; Actinomycetota; Actinomycetes; Pseudonocardiales; Pseudonocardiaceae
Description: Standard tmRNA
Rfam family: transfer-messenger RNA
About the family: Bacterial tmRNA, also known as 10Sa RNA or SsrA, is named for its dual tRNA and mRNA-like properties. Its role is to liberate the mRNA from a stalled ribosome.
Source: RNAcentral